Oryzias sinensis (Chinese medaka) is the source of this 3330-nucleotide long non-coding RNA. NCBI's taxonomy places the organism in Eukaryota, Metazoa, Chordata, Actinopteri, Beloniformes, Adrianichthyidae. The record is from Ensembl.
GAUGCGGUGCAGGAAACUGUUGAAACGUCAAAGAAACGGAUCCACGUGGAAAGUUUAGUGUUUGGAAUGACUUGUGUUGUUGUUUGCAUUAUUUGUUUUCAACGUUUCGCACGUCCAGAUAGAUGAUCCUGAAGAAGUGCGCGACUGAAAUAGAAAGCAGAGCUGAAACAGGAGCUUCUGCGAGGAGCUGAGCCAGUUCAGAGCGCACAGCCGCACUGCGAUCUGGGUUGAAAGCGGGCUCGAUCCCAUCCCAGCAACAACUUUGUCAAACUUCGGGGAUACUCUGCGUGGAUCUUGGAGCGUCUCGGUGAUCCUGACAUUCUGAGUUUUCCAGUUUCCUCUGAGGUCCAAACCUGCAGCGCUGCAGCUGCACGCGCACGCCCCGCCCCUGCACCUCUCUGUGCGCUCAGAGUUGAAGCGCAGCUCUGAUGAGAGCGCAGCAGCGAGCGCGCGGCAGCGUCUUCGGCGAGUCUCACAAGUCUGUUUUUGAGAGGAGAAAGGACCGAGGGGAGUUGUUGUGUCUGUGCUCACACGCGUGGAAGCUGUCUAUGCGUGGAGGUGGGGGCUGCGUUUUGCAGGGGGGGCUUCUUUCCACGCGCGUGUGUCCGGACAGAAGACGGACGGGGUUGGAGCCGCCGUGGAUGAGCGCGUUUUGAGCCGCUGCUGCUGAAGAGAGGAUCCGGAGCAGUCGGAGGAAAUGAAGCUCCUGCCAUGCGUGACGGUGAUCACCGCCCUGCUGCUGCAGCUUGGACCCGCGCGCGGACGUUUUCGUGAGGCCAGUAAGGAUCCAGUGGGCACUUUACUAAUGACUGGUGCACGUUCCAUGGUACGUUCCAUUUUCAUGACAUGCCCUAAGGUGACUGCACAAGCCUCAAUGGAACUGCAAGACACACCUGUGCUCCUCUUAAGAUGCAGCCCCUUCUCUCUACGACCUUCCACGGGCGCAGACAAUCCAAAAAUCUGUAGCCCCCAUAUCGAUCAACCCCCUACACAAGUGCAUGUGAGUAAAGCUUUACAUCAACAGACUCAGAAAAAGUAGAGCAUUCUCCAAAAGUCUCAAUUCCAUAAACAUGCACCAGGCCCUCCCCCAAUCCCCUCAUUUAGCCAAUAACUGAACCCUAUAAGUCUCAACCCCCAACAACAGGUUGAAUGACAGAACCCAGGGCCAUCAAGCAUGUCUGCUUGGCUCCAGAGCAUAGAAGCUCCAGAGCAUAGAACACUGAGCAGAGCCCCAACAGACACCAACCCAACGCAGUCUGCUACAAUAUUUACAAAUCUGGAACUUGAUCUGGAAGGAUGGAAGGUUGAGGAUGCUACAGGGUCUUCACAAAGAACCACUAGAGGCAGAAUUAAAAUAGUAAUUUAAUUGUUUCUCACUGCUCCUUUCCAAGAAGAUGGACUUAUGUUGUAUUGAAUAUGCUCUUGUGUUGGGGCACUCUUUAUGAAAAGAACAUGAAUAAACACGACAGAACAGAAGGGGACACACAAGUGCUCCUUUACCUGCUCUUUCUCUCCUCAGUGAGCAUCAAACGGACAUUAAACGUUCUUAAGCCCCCAUCCAGGUGAAGUCAGAGAUAAAGGCAAAAGACUUAUUUUAGAAGGGGGCGGAUUUUCAGGAUUAACCGUUAGUAAGAAGGAGCUUCCUUCUAUCCAUCUUUAGAGUCCACUUCAGAUGUUUAGGGGAGCGAUUUUCAUCGAGAUCUCUUUGUGACAGCAUCUGAACCAUAAAUGUGACACUUGGUCCGACACCCCACCCCCACCCCCAACUUUGGUUGACGUAAAGGCCCAAACUCUUGAGUAGUCAUGAUCCCAUUCACCUAUUCUCACACACUGAGGGUGGCUACACUACCAUCAACCCAUUACUACCAUUGCAUUGUGGGAUUCAGUGUCUUGCCCAAGGACACUUGGACACAUGCGGGAACCAAACCUGUGAUCUUUAGAUCAGACGUGGACCUCUGCUCCACAGCUGCCCUUUCUUAUUCAGCCCGCCUGGAAUGGGUAGGUUUCAUUGUAAUCUGGGGGCUUUUAACCCUUUAACACGUAUUCUGGAUUAUGUCAAGGUUUAUUCCAGAAUGACCCCCUCUUCCUUAUAUCUAGAUCUAGGGUCUUGUUUUGUGGAGGGUGGGGGGAGCUGGUGGCGUGUUGGGGCAAGACUUGUGCGAUGUGGCGCACCCUUCCAGCUGUGUAAAGCUUGGCUAAGCCUCUGCAGCUCUUUCAAUAGAUAAAUGAAGCAGUUGUUCCAGCAAAGCCCAUCAGAAGUUCUGCUGGGGGGUUUGGGGGGAUAAUACUUCAUUGCUUCAAUGCAGGUUUUAAAAAAUAUAUUUGAACUAAGCCUCAGGAAGAAAGAAAUUCAGAACAAGGUGUGUUCAUAUGUUCUUUCUAAAGAUAAACUAGGGAAGCGGGCGACCCGAGGACUUGAACUAUUAACCCACUUUGACUUCAGAAUAUGGUCCCUCCCCCUAUUUCUGCCGUGAAGCUUCAUAGAUAAACAUGAAGGAAAUCAAAUUAUCUAAAUUACCUUUCAUUUCAAACAUAAACUCAGCUGCUUUUUCAGGGGUUAGAUUUGGAUUAAAAUGCUCCUCUUUGAAAGUCCUUUAAUGGGCAAACACAGUUCCAGAAAACAGGAAGUGCCGUUACUCGAACCAACAUCAAUGCCAGCGUUUUUUACUGAGAUGAUGUUCUUCGGGGUUCUUACUUACAUAAUUCAUGUUUAUACAGUUUAUAACUGUAACUUCAGUCGGAAAAGGAGUUACAAACUAAAGCUAAGUUGUGUAGAGUUUAUUACAGUAAUCAAAGGUUGGUAACAGUUAGCAAAAAUAGUGCACUUGAAGUUUAAUAUCAUGCUAAAUCAACUAUUUUGAGCUUUUAAGUGUAUUAUAAUCUUCACUCCACACAACCCCAAAGCGGUAUUUUGAUCCAUUCACGCAUUUCUGAGAAUUCCUCUAAAUUGUUUAUAUUUAUUAUACUGUAUUUAUCCCACAAUGGGAAAUUUGUUUUGCAUUUGACCCAUCCCCUGGGGGAGUGGUGAGCUGCAGGCAAUCCGCGCUUGGGAGGCAGUAGCGUUAAGAGAAUUGCCCAAGGGCUCUCACUGGGUGAUUCUAAUUGCUCGCCAUUGAUAUGGUACCAUUGUUCAUUCCCCUCCGGGAAUCGAACCCUGGUUUCCUGCGUGGUAGUUUCUCACCUUACCAACUGAGCUCCCAAGUCUCGUUGAUGACUAUUAAACUUUUUUCAUUUUUUAUUUAUGUCAAGAGGAUGUCAGGGUCUGAAGAGAGAAAGACCUGUGCCAAACCAAAAUGUACAUGGAUGAGACAAAAGUGUGCACAAGACAAA